AACGGACGUUGACUGGAUGUCUAUGGCCUAUAAAGAUCAAUGAAGAAAUUCCAAAACGUCCAUGUAGCAAAUGGGAUACUCGUUUCAAGUCCCUCAAGAAGGCUUUGCUUUAAACUUUCGUACUUUUUAAACUUAGAUACGAUGACCUCCAAUAGUCUGACAGUGCUUUUCAUCUGUAUGAUGAUGAUACUAUCCUCAAGUAGUCCUGCUUAUAAGGUGAAUUGCAACAAUCAUGACCUAAAUAAACAAGGUUUAUGGAAAGCUCCAGAAACUAAAAAUCCAUUGGAUCAAUUCCAAAAUGCACAAUGUCACAUGAAAAACAAGAAAUUGGAAUGCGCUGAUGCUGGACGUAAACCUAUAGAUUGUGGAAAACAUAACUGUGGUUUUAACCAACCUUUGGGGAAGGUGACACAUGUAACAUUACUGCAGGU
Sinocyclocheilus anshuiensis is the source of this 431-nucleotide long non-coding RNA. NCBI's taxonomy places the organism in Eukaryota, Metazoa, Chordata, Actinopteri, Cypriniformes, Cyprinidae. The record is from Ensembl.